GAUGAAGAACGCAGCGAAAUGCGAUACGUAAUGUGAAUUGCAGAAUUCAGUGAAUCAUCGAGUCUUUGAACGCACAUUGCGCCCCCUGGUAUUCCGGGGGGCAUGCCUGUCCGAGCGUCAUUGCUGCCCUCAAGCACGGCUUGUGUGUUGGGCCUCCGUCCUCCUCCCGGGGGACGGGCCCGAAAGGCAGCGGCGGCACCGCGUCCGGUCCUCGAGCGUAUGGGGCUUCGUCACCCGCUCUUGUAGGCCCGGCCGGCGCUUGCCGACACAUCAAUCUUUUUUCCAGGUUGACCUCGGAUCAGGUAGGGAUACCCGGUGAACUUAAGCAUAUCAAUAAGCGGAGGA
RNAcentral lists this unclassified non-coding RNA (345 nucleotides) under soil metagenome. Its description in RNAcentral is "partial contains 5.8S ribosomal RNA, internal transcribed spacer 2, and large subunit ribosomal RNA". The stretch from base 1 to 120 matches the Rfam family "5.8S ribosomal RNA", at positions 35 to 154 of the family's 154-position model. The record is from RNAcentral.